AUUACAGGAUGCCAGAGUUUAGGCGAGUUAGGAUUAAAGCAUGUUACUGUUACAGACUGGAUGGGGGUUUGUUGGCCCUGGGUUCUUGGAGGUGUAAGAGACUGCAUCGGAUGGUCUGGACUGGAGGCGUGGAAAUCCAUUUUCUUGCUGCAUAUCCAGACCCUGAUCCCAGCGGACCAGGCGCAGCCACCAGCUCCACGAGGGCCUAGCCACCGGCUUUGCCAAAAAAAAAAAUGUGCACUGUAUUGUUGAAGGGAAAAAUCGCAAAAGAAAAGGCAAAAUGCUUAUGACUUUGUUAACGCUUUAUUUUGGGGCAUUUGUUUUGUUAACUGUCAUUGUAAUAAUUUUGAUGAUUUAUGUUUGUUUACCCUGUGAUUGCCAUUGUGGGCGAUCGCCGCCUUUACCUAAUUCCCCAGAGCCGUGAACAAGUAAUGCGACCUGGGACACGUUUUUGGUUUUAUAAGAUAAGAUGUUGUUAAUUAGAUUUAGAUAUGUUAAGAUAAUUUAGAUAACUAAGAUGUUGUUGUUUAACUUAGAAAUGUUGUAUUUAGAAAAGCUGUUUUUAAUUAGUAUAACCAUCGUGACAUAUUUUUGUUUGUUUUUUAAUGAGCAUUUACAUAUUUUUUUUAUACCAAUAUAGAAUGGGCCUUAGGAAACCAAGUCGCUUAAGCUGUACGCAUCUACCUCACGCGCCUUCUACCUCUAUCCUUUUCUUUCCUGUCUUUUUCUCCUCUGCGGCCAGCACCUUAUCUUGCUCUUUCUCUUUUUCUCUCCUGCCGCACCUUAUCUCACCCUUUGUCUUUCUCGCCGAGUUAACCUCGUUUGAUGUAUAUAGUUUGAUGUUAUGAUAUAUAUUUUGUUAAAGUUUGGAAAAAAAAAAAGCUAUUAACCUGCGAAGGUUUGGUGUGUUGUAGCAGUUGGCGCGGUGGGGUCUGGAAGGCGACCGGCGCUGUGAGGUCCGGUGGAUGGCAGUGGGGUGGAAGCAGCUGUUGGGGGGUCCGUCAUUUGCACGGCCCAGCCCGCACCCCCCGGCAAGCUUCGGAAUGUCUGGGUCCCUGUGGCAGUUUUUGAAUGGUCCCUCCCAGUUGGGUCAACGGGCCCAGCGCAGCCAGUAGAUCCCGUUGGAGCUCCUCCGUGUGGCAUAAAUCCCUCGGCAUUUGUGAUUCAGGAGAGGUAACACUGGAAUCUGCAGAUCUCCUUAGAUGACCUUCAGGAGCUGUGGGCUGUGGGUGGGGACUGGCUCUCUUUCUCUGGUCCAGUGACUGGUGUCGUUGCUCGUAGGAAGUGGAAGAGCUUUAACAGGCAAAUCUGUCAUUUCCCUUCUUCUGGGGGUUACGGGAGCUGUUCUGGAGGUGAGGGAGGUGUAAAUUCACGGUCUUGAGCCAACCUGGAUAGAGCAGAGGUGGACUGUGAUUUGUCUGACCUCAACUGUGUAUCUGUAAUGCAGUUGUAAUCGUCUCUGCCUGCACAACUGGCACGAGGUCCUAUUUUAUUUUGAAGGAGCUAUAGUGAAUAAAGUCAGUGAAUCUAGUGCACGCUCUUUCUGACCAAAUAGAUAAGCAUUUACUUUAGGAUAAGAGAAACAGUACCUUGAACUCACUGGUUAUCCUGACUCAACUCUCUGUUGCGUAAAAAUGGGGCCAAGGUUGGCUCGGGCAUGGGUGUCUACAUGAGAGACAUCCACGUUUAGUCAGAUGAAUCCCACCCCAGUCUCCUGUGUUCCUCAUCAGGUCUCUGACAACUCUGCUGUUAGCCCUUAUUGAAGGCAAGUACAGUCUCUGUCUCCUUUCUUUCUUUCUUUCUUUCUUUCUUUAACACAAAGGAAAUUCAGUCUUAGACAUUCAGUUGCAGAAGAAAGUUUGUGUUUGAAGAUCACGCUUGGAUCUUCGAGUAGGUCUAAUUAGAUGCCUUUUCCUCUUUGCUUCAUCCCUGAUAAGCUUAGGCACUCUCUGUCCUGUUUCUGAGGACCACUGCCC
Molecule: long non-coding RNA, 1976 nt
Organism: Aquila chrysaetos chrysaetos
Lineage: Eukaryota; Metazoa; Chordata; Aves; Accipitriformes; Accipitridae
Exons: 2
Source: RefSeq, a predicted model, not a curated record